AAACGUCUCAGUUCGGACUGUGGUCUGCAACCCGACCACACGAAGCUGGAAUCGCUAGUAAUCGUGAAUCAGAAUGUCACGGUGAAUACGUUCCCGGGUCUUGUACACACCGCCCGUCACACCAUGGGAGUCAGCAACGCCCGAAGUCAGUGACCUAACCGAGAGGGAGGAGCUGCCGAAGGCGGGGCCGGUAACUGGGGUGAAGUCGUAACAAGGUAUC
This 220-nucleotide ribosomal RNA is filed under the name uncultured bacterium. Its description in RNAcentral is "partial 16S ribosomal RNA". It matches the Rfam family "Bacterial small subunit ribosomal RNA", at positions 1281 to 1500 of the family's 1533-position model. The record is from RNAcentral.